This 311-nucleotide ribosomal RNA is filed under the name Ariophanta bistrialis. RNAcentral's name for it is "partial 16S ribosomal RNA". The record is from RNAcentral. Lineage: Eukaryota; Metazoa; Mollusca; Gastropoda; Stylommatophora; Ariophantidae.
UACCUUGACUGUGCUAAGGUAGCAUAAUAAAUUGACUUUUAAUUGAAGCCUUGAAUGAAAGGAUCUAUGGAUAAAAUCUGUCUUACUAUAAUUUAUUUUAAGUUGCUUAAAAGGUGAAAAUUCCUUUAAUUUAUAUAAUAGACGAGAAGACCCUAGGAGUUUAAAUUUAUUUUGUUGGGGUGACAAUAUAACAGUAUAACUUAUAUAAACUGAUAAUAUAAAACGAAAAUUUUAAAUUUUAAAUAAGCUACCCUAGGGAUAACAGCAUAAUACUAUUAAUGAGUUUGUGACCUCGAUGUUGGAUUAGGGUU